AACGAACGCUGGCGGCAUGCCUAACACAUGCAAGUCGAACGAGACCUUCGGGUCUAGUGGCGCACGGGUGCGUAACGCGUGGGAACCUGCCCUUAGGUUCGGAAUAACUCCCCGAAAGGGGUGCUAAUACCGGAUAAUGUCUUCGGACCAAAGAUUUAUCGCCUUUGGAUGGGCCCGCGUUGGAUUAGCUUGUUGGUAGGGUAAAAGCCUACCAAGGCGACGAUCCAUAGCUGGUCUGAGAGGAUGAUCAGCCACACUGGGACUGAGACACGGCCCAGACUACUACGGGAGGCAGCAGUGGGGAAUAUUGGACAAUGGGCGAAAGCCUGAUCCAGCAAUGCCGCGUGAGUGAUGAAGGCCUUAGGGUUGUAAAGCUCUUUUACCCGGGAUGAUAAUGACAGUACCGGGAGAAUAAGCUCCGGCUAACUCCGUG
Molecule: ribosomal RNA, 433 nt
Filed under: uncultured bacterium
Lineage: Bacteria
Description: partial 16S ribosomal RNA
Rfam family: Bacterial small subunit ribosomal RNA
Source: RNAcentral